RNAcentral lists this ribosomal RNA (366 nucleotides) under uncultured organism. RNAcentral's name for it is "bacterial SSU rRNA". It matches the Rfam family "Bacterial small subunit ribosomal RNA", at positions 526 to 896 of the family's 1533-position model. The record is from RNAcentral.
CGGAGGAUCCAAGCGUUAUCCGGAAUCAUUGGGUUUAAAGGGUCCGUAGGCGGUUUAGUAAGUCAGUGGUGAAAGCCCAUCGCUCAACGGUGGAACGGCCAUUGAUACUGCUAGACUUGAAUUAUUAGGAAGUAACUAGAAUAUGCAGUGUAGCGGUGAAAUGCUUAGAGAUUACAUGGAAUACCAAUUGCGAAGGCAGGUUACUACUAAUUGAUUGACGCUGAUGGACGAAAGCGUGGGUAGCGAACAGGAUUAGAUACCCUGGUAGUCCACGCCGUAAACGAUGGAUACUAGCUGUUGGGAGCAAUCUCAGUGGCUAAGCGAAAGUGAUAAGUAUCCCACCUGGGGAGUACGUUCGCAAGAAUG